GAUGAACGCUGGCGGCGUGCCUAAUACAUGCAAGUCGAGCGAAGAGGGGACGGGUGAGUAACACGUGGAUACCCUUCUCUAUGACUGGGAUAACUUCGGGAAACCGGAGCUCCACCGGAUACUUAUACAUGGAACCGCGCUGCAUUCGCUAGUUGGUACGGUAACGGCGUACCAAGGCAACGAUGCAGAGCCGACCUGAGAGGGGGAACGGCCACACUGGAACUGAGACACGGUCCAGACUCCUACGGGAGGCAGCAGUAGGGAAUCUUCCGCAAUGGGCGAAAGCCUGACGGAGCAAUGCCGCGUGAGUGAAGAAGGUCUUCGGAUCGUAAAACGCUGUUAUUAGGGAAGCGGUACCUAAUCAGAAAGCCACGGCUAACUACGUGCCAGCAGCCGCGGUAAUAC
RNAcentral lists this ribosomal RNA (405 nucleotides) under uncultured bacterium. RNAcentral's name for it is "partial 16S ribosomal RNA". It matches the Rfam family "Bacterial small subunit ribosomal RNA", at positions 28 to 526 of the family's 1533-position model. The record is from RNAcentral.